AUGCUCUGAGGAGGAUGGAGACCAGGGGACACAUGGUCAAAUACUCAGCCAUAUAGAACAGGUUUAUGUACUGCUGUGGCUAAUACUGUCUCCAGGUUUAUACUCAGCCAUAUAGAACAGGUUUAUGUACUGCUGUAGCUAAUACUGUCUCCAGGUUUAUACUCAGCCAUAUGCAUUAUAACAGGUUUAUGUACUGCUGUAGCUAAUACUGUCUCCAGGUUUAUACUCAGCCAUAUGCAUUAUAACAGAUUUAUGUACUGCUGUAGCUAAUACUGUCUCCAGGUUUAUACUCAGCCAUAUGCAUUAUAACAGGUUUAUGUACUACUGUAGCUAAUACUGUCUCCAGGUUUAUACUCAGCCAUAUGCAUUAUAACAGAUUUAUGUACUGCUGUAGCUAAUACUGUCUCCAGGUUUAUACUCAGCCAUAUGCAUUAUAACAGGUUUAUGUACUACUGUAGCUAAUACUGUCUCCAGGUUUAUACUCAGCCAUAUGCAUUAUAACAGAUUUAUGUACUGCUGUAGCUAAUACUGUCUCCAGGUUUAUACUCAGCCAUAUAGAACAGGUUUAUGUACUGCUGUAGCUAAUACUGUCUCCAGGUUUAUACUCAGCCAUAUAGAACAGGUUUAUGUACUGCUGUAGCUAAUACUGUCUCCAGGUUUAUACUCAGCCAUAUGCAUUAUAACAGGUUUAUGUACUGCUGUAGCUAAUACUGUCUCCAGGUUUAUACUCAGCCAUAUAGAACAGGUUUAUGUACUGCUGUAGCUAAUACUGUCUCCAGGUUUAUACUCAGCCAUAUAGAACAGGUUUACGUACUGCUGUGGCUAAUACUGUCUCCAGGUUUAUACUCAGCCAUAUGCAUUAUAACAGGUUUAUGUACUGCUGUGGCUAAUACUGUCUCCAGGUUUAUACUCAGCCAUAUGCAUUAUAACAGGUUUAUGUACUGCUGUAGCUAAUACUGUCUCCAGGUUUAUACUCAGCCAUAUGCAUUAUAACAGGUUUAUGUACUGCUGUGGCUAAUACUGUCUCCAGGUUUAUACUCAGCCAUAUGCAUUAUAACAGGUUUAUGUACUGCUGUAGCUAAUACUGUCUCCAGGUUUAUACUCAGCCAUAUGCAUUAUAACAGGUUUAUGUACUGCUGUAGCUAAUACUGUCUCCAGGUUUAUACUCAGCCAUAUGCAUUAUAACAGGUUUAUGUACUGCUGUGGCUAAUACUGUCUCCAGGUUUAUACUCAGCCAUAUAGAACAGGUUUAUGUACUGCUGUGGCUAAUACUGUCUCCAGGUUUAUACUCAGCCAUAUAGAACAGGUUUAUGUACUGCUGUAGCUAAUACUGUCUCCAGGUUUAUACUCAGCCAUAUAGAACAGGUUUAUGUACUGCUGUAGCUAAUACUGUCUCCAGGUUUAUACUCAGCCAUAUGCAUUAUAACAGGUUUAUGUACUGCUGUAGCUAAUACUGUCUCCAGGUUUAUACUCAGCCAUAUAGAACAGGUUUAUGUACUGCUGUAGCUAAUACUGUCUCCAGGUUUAUACUCAGCCAUAUGCAUUAUAACAGGUUUAUGUACUGCUGUAGCUAACACUGUCUCCAGGUUUAUACUCAGCCAUAUAGAACAGGUUUAUGUACUGCUGUAGCUAAUACUGUCUCCAGGUUUAUACUCAGCCAUAUAGAACAGGUUUAUGUACUGCUGUAGCUAACACUGUCUCCAGGUUUAUACUCAGCCAUAUAGAACAGGUUUAUGUACUGCUGUAGCUAAUACUGUCUCCAGGUUUAUACUCAGCCAUAUGCAUUAUAACAGGUUUAUGUACUGCUGUAGCUAAUACUGUCUCCAGGUUUAUACUCAGCCAUAUAGAACAGGUUUAUGUACUGCUGUAGCUAAUACUGUCUCCAGGUUUAUACUCAGCCAUAUGCAUUAUAACAGGUUUAUGUACUGCUGUAGCUAACACUGUCUCCAGGUUUAUACUCAGCCAUAUGCAUUAUAACAGGUUUAUGUACUGCUGUAGCUAAUACUGUCUCCAGGUUUAUACUCAGCCAUAUAGAACAGGUUUAUGUACUGCUGUAGCUAAUACUGUCUCCAGGUUUAUACUCAGCCAUAUGCAUUAUAACAGGUUUAUGUACUGCUGUAGCUAAUACUGUCUCCAGGUUUAUACUCAGCCAUAUGCAUUAUAACAGGUUUAUGUACUGCUGUGGCUAAUACUGUCUCCAGGUUUAUACUCAGCCAUAUGCAUUAUAACAGGUUUAUGUACUGCUGUAGCUAAUACUGUCUCCAGGUUUAUACUCAGCCAUAUGCAUUAUAACAGGUUUAUGUACUGCUGUAGCUAAUACUGUCUCCAGGUUUAUACUCAGCCAUAUGCAUUAUAACAGGUUUAUGUACUGCUGUGGCUAAUACUGUCUCCAGGUUUAUACUCAGCCAUAUGCAUUAUAACAGGUUUAUGUACUGCUGUAGCUAAUACUGUCUCCAGGUUUAUACUCAGCCAUAUAGAACAGGUUUAUGUACUGCUGUAGCUAAUACUGUCUCCAGGUUUAUACUCAGCCAUAUAGAACAGGUUUAUGUACUGCUGUAGCUAAUACUGUCUCCAGGUUUAUACUCAGCCAUAUAGAACAGGUUUACGUACUGCUGUGGCUAAUACUGUCUCCAGGUUUAUACUCAGCCAUAUAGAACAGGUUUAUGUACUGCUGUAGCUAAUACUGUCUCCAGGUUUAUACUCAGCCAUAUAGAACAGGUUUAUGUACUGCUGUAGCUAACACUGUCUCCAGGUUUAUACUCAGCCAUAUAGAACAGGUUUAUGUACUGCUGUAGCUAAUACUGUCUCCAGGUUUAUACUCAGCCAUAUAGAACAGGUUUAUGUACUGCUGUAGCUAAUACUGUCUCCAGGUUUAUACUCAGCCAUAUAGAACAGGUUUAUGUACUGCUGUAGCUAAUACUGUCUCCAGGUUUAUACUCAGCCAUAUGCAUUAUAACAGGUUUAUGUACUGCUGUAGCUAAUACUGUCUCCAGGUUUAUACUCAGCCAUAUAGAACAGGUUUAUGUACUUCUGUAGCUAAUGCUGUCUACUGUCUCCCUGCUAUCAUAUCUAAAUUAGCUGAGAAGGGGAACUACUACUCAUGAGUAGCUGUGCUGGUAAAGCCUUUUUUUCUUAAUAGCAAAUCAUUUCUGUGUAACAAUUAAGUACCUUAGUGUAAUUAUUUUAAAUUAAAAUGGUAAAAAAAGUAACAAAGAGCAAUUUCUCAUCCAAUAAUUUUGAUAAGACUGUCUGGGAAAACUGAAAACUAGCUGUUAUUGGUAGAGAGGUUUGGAACUCAUUCUUAUUGGUCUAACUAAUUUACCACCUGGUGAUGUCACCAGGCAGGCCAAAACUCCAUCCCACCAAAACAGGCUGAAAUAUCAGGCGGUCUUUUCAAACAGCUCUUAUACUAAAAGGGCAUUAUCAUAAUUUUCACAAUUAUCAUUGUGGAAAAAUAUAUAAAACACAAGACAAAUCAGGUUUUUGACUGAACUGGGCCUUUAAGACAAAAUAAAUUAAGACAUUUGCACACUAUAUGUGCUUCCAACAAUUGUAUGGGUAAACUUCAUCAGCAAUGUAACAGCAAAGAAGUUAAAAAAACUUUAAAAAAACUGAAGGCGUGUUGGAAGCCUUGAUGAAGUUCACCCAUUCAAUUGUUGGGAGGACAUUAAGUAUAGUGUGGGACUUCAUUUUCAUACAGUUUAUUCACCUUUACUCUUCAAACAUUUCUGGGUGUGUGUCUGCUCAUGCUUUUUAUUAGGUCACUUCCCUGCAGACACGACCUUUAACCUGAAUCUGGAAUUCAAAUAUAGUACUGCGUAGGUAUUUUUGCUAAUACACAGGCUCUCUGAUUAAGUUGGAGAUCCCUUUGUUUAAUAUAACAUAGUGGUAGUAAGUUUACGUGUUUUCUGGACAUUCAGAAUUAGUGAUUUUAAAAUCACAACUCACUUAAACCUACAUUCUAGACUGGAUCAUCCUACAAGGGUUAGGGCUAUUG
Molecule: long non-coding RNA, 3997 nt
Organism: Oncorhynchus keta (chum salmon)
Lineage: Eukaryota; Metazoa; Chordata; Actinopteri; Salmoniformes; Salmonidae
Exons: 11
Source: RefSeq, a predicted model, not a curated record